CCUACGGGUGGCAGCAGUGAGGAAUAUUGGUCAUUGGUCGGGAGACUGAACCAGCCAAGCCGCGUGAGGGAUGAAGGUACAGAGUAUCGUAAACCUCUUUUGUCAGGGAACAAAGGCGGGGACGUGUCCCCGGAUGAGUGUACCUGAAGAAAAAGCAUCGGCUAACUCCGUGCCAGCAGCCGCGGUAAUCCGGAGGAUGCGAGCGUUAUCCGGAUUUAUUGGGUUUAAAGGGUGCGCAGGCGGUCUGUUUAGUCAGCGGUAAAAGCCCGGGGACCAACCCCGGACCGCCGUUGAAACUGGCAGUCUCGAGUUGGAGAGAAGUAUGCGGAAUGCGCGGUGUAGCGGUGAAAUGCAUAGAUAUCGCGCAGAACUCCGAUUGCGAAGGCAGCAUGCCGGCUCCACACUGACGCUGAGGCACGAAAGCGUGGGUAUCGAACAGGAUUAGAUACCCCAGUAGUC
This 459-nucleotide ribosomal RNA is filed under the name uncultured bacterium. RNAcentral describes it as "partial 16S ribosomal RNA". It matches the Rfam family "Bacterial small subunit ribosomal RNA", at positions 338 to 795 of the family's 1533-position model. The record is from RNAcentral.